Molecule: non-coding RNA, 82 nt
Organism: Dermacentor silvarum
Lineage: Eukaryota; Metazoa; Arthropoda; Arachnida; Ixodida; Ixodidae
Source: the annotation of a RefSeq genome assembly
GCAAUCGUGGCCGAGUGGUUAAGGCGAUGGACUCCAAAUACAUUGGGGUGUCCCCGCGCAGGUUCGAACACUGCCGGCUGCG